Molecule: ribosomal RNA, 468 nt
Filed under: uncultured bacterium
Lineage: Bacteria
Description: partial 16S ribosomal RNA
Rfam family: Bacterial small subunit ribosomal RNA
Source: RNAcentral
GACGAACGCUGGCGGCGUGCUUAACGCAUGCAAGUCGAACGGAAAGGCCCUGCUUUUGUGGGGUGCUCGAGUGGCGAACGGGUGAGUAACACGUGAGUAACCUGCCCUUGACUUUGGGAUAACUUCAGGAAACUGGGGCUAAUACCGGAUAGGAGCUCCUGCUGCAUGGUGGGGGUUGGAAAGUUUCGGCGGUUGGGGAUGGACUCGCGGCUUAUCAGCUUGUUGGUGGGGUAGUGGCUUACCAAGGCUUUGACGGGUAGCCGGCCUGAGAGGGUGACCGGCCACAUUGGGACUGAGAUACGGCCCAGACUCCUACGGGAGGCAGCAGUGGGGAAUAUUGCACAAUAGGCGGAAGCCUGAUGCAGCAACGCCGCGUGCGGGAUGACGGCCUUCGGGUUGUAAACCGCUUUCGCCUGUGACGAAGCGUGAGUGACGGUAAUGGGUAAAGAAGCACCGGCUAACUACGUG